CUUGAGGGGAGGGGACGGUCCCUCAGCCCAGAUUGCGAAAGGGUGCAGGCCAGGCCAAGGGACCCCACUGGUGCAUG
Molecule: microRNA precursor, 77 nt
Filed under: Myotis lucifugus (little brown bat)
Lineage: Eukaryota; Metazoa; Chordata; Mammalia; Chiroptera; Vespertilionidae
Description: mir-9193 microRNA precursor family
Rfam family: mir-9193 microRNA precursor family
Source: Rfam by way of RNAcentral